GCUGCCGCAAAUUACACAAGAAGAAGAAGUAGAAGACAUUAGGGGGGUUCGCAGACUGGAAGUUCUUUUUUGUUUCGGAGCGGUGUGGCGUUCGGCAACCGAGAGAUCGUGAACUUGUAGAUCUGGUCCAGCUGUGGCAGAGAAUGCAGAGUCAAGCUUUUUGCGCCGACAUUGUUCGGAUCAUUGAUCUGUCUCCAGUUCAGGAGACAUUUGCCACGUCUCCAAUCAACGUUUGUCUUCAAUGCCAGAUUACAUCACUGUUAAAAGUAUGCCAAGUACCUUCCCCUUUCUGGCUGUCACUACUGUGCCAAACCAUUUCCAUAAGGCCUAGUGCCCCACUGUGGGGCACGUGACAAACUUGGAUGAUGCACGACACUAAUAAUGGUAGCUCUUGACCAUAAACCUCAAGCAUGGAUUCUAGAUCAUCCAACUCCUUACAGAAGAGAUGCUGGUGAAUGCGGUCAUUAAUAGCAUCCUCCGUAUCAGUCAGGAGGCAGGCUGUAGAUGUGUCUUCCCUUUGCAGAAUCAACCAGUUCUGUUCCAGUGUUAUGCCACUCUGAAUUACACAGACCUCUGAGGCAAUCUGAUAUAUGAAGGAAGCUGUUUUCUGGAACAUUGGGUGUGCGGAGUGUCUGGCCCAUGAGCUCAUCAGUGCCACCAAGGUGGUAAAGAGUACAGUUGCAAGAAAAACAUGAACUAGUAGAUCUGCUCCAGUUGUGGCAGAGAACGCCGAGAUCAAGCUUUUUGCACCGACAUUGUUCGGAUCAUUGAUCUGUCUCCAGUUCAGGAGACAAUUGCCAUGUCUCCACUCAACGUUUGUCUUCAAUGCCAGAUUACAUCACUGUUAAAAGUAUGCCAAGUACCUUCCCCUUUCUGGCUGUCACUACUCUGCCAAACCAUUUCCAUAAGGCCUAGUGCUCCACUGUGGGGCACGUGACAGACUUGGCGGCUGCACGACACUAAUAAUGGUAGCGCUUGACCAUAAACCUCAAGGAUGGAUUCUAGAUCAUCCAAAUUCUUAUAGAAGAGAUGCUGGUGAAUGCGGUCAUUAAAAGCAUCCUCCGUAUUGGUCAGGAGGCAGGCUGUGGAUGUGUCUUCCCUUUACAGAAUCAACCAGAACCCUGAGGCAAUCUGAUAUGAAGGAAGCUGUUUUCUAGAACAUUGGUUGUGCAGAGUGUCUGGCCCAUGAGCUCAUCAGUGCUGCCAAGGGAUCAUCAAACGCCAUCAAGAAAGAUGACCUGAGAAAACGUUGUGAUGCCCACUUUUUUUUUUUUUUUUUUUUUUCUCUCUCCCCAAAUCUGUUGCUUUCACGAAAACAAAAUUUGAAUAAACUUGAUUGUCAAUGUGUCAUUGUAAAUAUCAAAAAUAAUUAUUGGUAUAUCUGAAGAGGAAACGCCCAUUUUCAAACCCCGUUGUAUGACAAAUGUUUAUAUGCAUAUAUUUUUGUUGUAAUUUAGACUGUCCAGGUAAAAUAAAAAACACUUCUUACAUGAUCAAAAAAGAAACUUGGAUUAUAUUAAGUGAAUGUAAUUCUAUAUUAAAACCAAAUAUGUACACUUAA
This is a long non-coding RNA of Ctenopharyngodon idella (grass carp), 1561 nucleotides long. RefSeq lists it as uncharacterized. NCBI's taxonomy places the organism in Eukaryota, Metazoa, Chordata, Actinopteri, Cypriniformes, Xenocyprididae. The record is from RefSeq and is a predicted model, not a curated record. The transcript is spliced from 11 exons.